RNAcentral lists this ribosomal RNA (253 nucleotides) under uncultured bacterium. RNAcentral's name for it is "partial 16S ribosomal RNA". It matches the Rfam family "Bacterial small subunit ribosomal RNA", at positions 524 to 776 of the family's 1533-position model. The record is from RNAcentral.
UACGUAGGUGGCAAGCGUUGUCCGGAUUUACUGGGCGUAAAGAGCGCGCAGGCGGUCGGAUCAGUCGAAUGUGAAAGCCCCCGGCUCAACUGGGGAGGGUCAUUCGAUACUGUCCGACUCGAAGGCAGGAGAGGGAAGCGGAAUUCCCGGUGUAGUGGUGAAAUGCGUAGAUAUUGGGAGGAACACCGGUGGCGAAGGCGGCUCACUGGACCGGUUCUGACGCUGAGGCGCGAAAGCGUGGGGAGCAAACGGG